This 810-nucleotide ribosomal RNA is filed under the name uncultured beta proteobacterium. RNAcentral's name for it is "bacterial SSU rRNA". It matches the Rfam family "Bacterial small subunit ribosomal RNA", at positions 36 to 846 of the family's 1533-position model. Lineage: Bacteria; Pseudomonadati; Pseudomonadota; Betaproteobacteria. The record is from RNAcentral.
CUGGCGGAAUGCUUUACACAUGCAAGUCGAACGGUAGAGGGGGCAACCCCUUGAGAGUGGCGAACGGGUGAGUAAUAUAUCGGAACGUGCCCAGUCGUGGGGGAUAACGUAGCGAAAGUUACGCUAAUACCGCAUACGAUCUAAGGAUGAAAGCGGGGGAUCGCAAGACCUCGCGCGACUGGAGCGGCCGAUAUCAGAUUAGGUAGUUGGUAGGGUAAAGGCCUACCAAGCCAACGAUCUGUAGCUGGUCUGAGAGGACGACCAGCCACACUGGAACUGAGACACGGNUCCAGACUCNUACGGGAGGCAGCAGUGGGGAAUUUUGGACAAUGGGCGAAAGCCUGAUCCAGCCAUUCCGCGUGCAGGAUGAAGGCCCUCGGGUUGUAAACUGCUUUUGUACAGAACGAAAAGGUUUCUAUUAAUACUAGGAGCUCAUGACGGUACUGUAAGAAUAAGCACCGGCUAACUACGUGCCAGCAGCCGCGGUAAUACGUAGGGUGCAAGCGUUAAUCGGAAUUACUGGGCGUAAAGCGUGCGCAGGCGGUUAUAUAAGUCAGAUGUGAAAUCCCCGGGCUCAACCUGGGAACUGCAUUUGAGACUGUAUAGCUAGAGUACGGUAGAGGGGGAUGGAAUUCCGCGUGUAGCAGUGAAAUGCGUAGAUAUGCGGAGGAACACCGAUGGCGAAGGCAAUCCCCUGGACCUGUACUGACGCUCAUGCACGAAAGCGUGGGGAGCAAACAGGAUUAGAUACCCUGGUAGUCACGCCCUAAACGAUGUCAACUGGUUGUUGGGUCUUUACUGACUCAGUAA